RNAcentral lists this ribosomal RNA (497 nucleotides) under uncultured bacterium. RNAcentral describes it as "partial 16S ribosomal RNA". It matches the Rfam family "Bacterial small subunit ribosomal RNA", at positions 28 to 507 of the family's 1533-position model. The record is from RNAcentral.
GACGAACGCUGGCGGCGUGCCUAAUACAUGCAAGUUGAGCGAUGAAGAUUGGUGCUUGCACCAAUUUGAAGAGCAGCGAACGGGUGGGUAACGCGUGGGUAAUCUGCCUUUGAGCGGGGGACAACAUCUGGAAACGAAUGCUAAUACCGCAUAAUAACUUUAAACAUAAGUUUUAAGUUUGAAAGAUGCAAUUGCAUCACUCAAAGAUGAUCCCGCGUUGUAUUAGCUAGUUGGUGAGGUAAAGGCUCACCAAAGCGAUGAUACAUAGCCGACCUGAGAGGGGGGUCGGCCCCCUUGGGACUGAGACCAGGCCCAAACCCCCACGGGGAGGAGCAGGAGGGGAACUUCGGCAAAUGGCGGAAGGCUGGCCGAGCAAAGCCGCGUGAGGGAAGGAGGUUUUCGGAUCGUAAAAAUCUGUUGGUAGAGAAGAAAGUAGGUGGGAGUGGAAAGCUCAUCAAGUGACGGUAACUAACCAGAAAGGGACGGCUAACUACGUG